This 603-nucleotide ribosomal RNA is filed under the name Triticum aestivum (bread wheat). RNAcentral describes it as "partial small subunit ribosomal RNA". The record is from RNAcentral. Lineage: Eukaryota; Viridiplantae; Streptophyta; Magnoliopsida; Poales; Poaceae.
AUGCCUAUGAAUUAUUCACUUGCUGUUGAACCAUUCGAUGUUUGGGGAUUUGACUUCAUGGGACCUUUUCCUUCCUCUAAUGGGUAUACACAUAUUUUGGUUGCUCUUGAUUAUGUUACUAAAUGGGUAGAAGCUAUUCCAACCAUUAGUGUUGAUCACAACACCUCUAUUAAAAUGCUUAAGGAAGUUCUUUUCUCAAGGUUUGGAGUCCCUAGAUAUUUAAUGACUGAUGGUGGUUCACACUUUAUUCAUGGUGCUUUCCGUAAAAUGCUUGCUAAGUAUGAUGUUAACCAUAGAAUUGCAUCACCUUAUCAUCCUCAGUCUAGUGGUCAAGUUGAACUUAGCAAUAGAGAAAUAAAACUAAUCUUACAAAAGACUGUCAAUAGGUCCCGGAAGAAUUGGUCCAAGAAAUUAGAUGAUGCACGUUGGGAUUAUAGAACGGCUUAUAAAAAUCCUAUGGGUAUGUCUCCACAUAAAAUGGUUUAUGGAAAAGCUUGUCAUUUACCUCUUGAGUUAGAACACAAAGCAUUUUGGGCAAUAAAAGAACUCAAUUAUGAUUUCAAACUUGUGGGGGAAAAAGGUUAUUUGAUAUUAGCUCAUUAG